GGGGCGAAAGACUAAUCGAACCAUCUAGUAGCUGGUUCCCUCCGAAGUUUCCCUCAGGAUAGCUGGCGCUCUCGCACACACCCCCACCUCCCACGCAGUUUU
This 102-nucleotide ribosomal RNA is filed under the name Colobus guereza (mantled guereza). RNAcentral describes it as "partial 28S ribosomal RNA". It matches the Rfam family "Eukaryotic large subunit ribosomal RNA", at positions 920 to 1002 of the family's 3401-position model. Lineage: Eukaryota; Metazoa; Chordata; Mammalia; Primates; Cercopithecidae. The record is from RNAcentral.